AUCUUUGAGGGGCCACAAAAAAGCCCCAUUGAAUAACCGCCGAACACAGCUAAGUUAAUG
Molecule: small RNA, 60 nt
Filed under: Sinorhizobium meliloti 2011
Lineage: Bacteria; Pseudomonadati; Pseudomonadota; Alphaproteobacteria; Hyphomicrobiales; Rhizobiaceae
Description: putative ncRNA
Source: RNAcentral